UACGUAGGUGGCAAGCGUUGUCCGGAAUUAUUGGGCGUAAAGCGCGCGCAGGCGGUCCUUUAAGUCUGCUGUGAAAGUCCAGGGCUCAACCCUGGGAUGCCGGUGGAUACUGUCGGACUAGAGUACGGAAGAGGCGAGUGGAAUUCCCGGUGUAGCGGUGAAAUGCGCAGAUAUCGGGAGGAACACCAAUUGCGAAGGCAGCUCGCUGGGACGUUACUGACGCUGAGACGCGAAAGCGUGGGGAGCAAACAGG
RNAcentral lists this ribosomal RNA (253 nucleotides) under uncultured bacterium. Its description in RNAcentral is "partial 16S ribosomal RNA". It matches the Rfam family "Bacterial small subunit ribosomal RNA", at positions 524 to 776 of the family's 1533-position model. The record is from RNAcentral.